Molecule: ribosomal RNA, 497 nt
Filed under: uncultured bacterium
Lineage: Bacteria
Description: partial 16S ribosomal RNA
Rfam family: Bacterial small subunit ribosomal RNA
Source: RNAcentral
GAUGAACGCUGGCGGCGUGCCUAAUACAUGCAAGUCGAGCGAACAGAUGAGGAGCUUGCUCCUCUGACGUUAGCGGCGGACGGGUGAGUAACACGUGGAUAACCUACCUAUAAGACUGGGAUAACUUCGGGAAACCGGAGCUAAUACCGGAUAAUAUAUUGAACCGCAGGGUUCAAUAGUGAAAGACGGUUUUGCUGUCACUUAUAGAUGGAUCCGCGCCGCAUUAGCUAGUGGUUAAGGUAACGGCUUACCAAGGCGACGAUGCGUAGCCGACCUGAGUGAGUGAUCGGCCACACUGGAACUGAGACACGGUCCAGACGCCUACGGGAGGCAGCAGUAGGGAAUCGUCCGCAAUGGGCGAAAGCCUGACGGAGCAACGCCGCGUGAGUGAUGAAGGUCUUCGGAUCGUAAAACUCUGUUAUUAGGGAAGAACAAAUGUGUAAGUAACUAUGCACGUCUUGACGGUACCUAAUCAGAAAGCCACGGCUAACUACGUG